AUGCAAGUCGAACGCUUCUUUCCUCCCGAGUGCUUGCACUCAAUUGGAAAGAGGAGUGGCGGACGGGUGAGUAACACGUGGGUAACCUACCCAUCAGAGGGGGAUAACACUUGGAAACAGGUGCUAAUACCGCAUAACAGUUUAUGCCGCAUGGCAUAAGAGUGAAAGGCGCUUUCGGGUGUCGCUGAUGGAUGGACCCGCGGUGCAUUAGCUAGUUGGUGAGGUAACGGCUCACCAAGGCCACGAUGCAUAGCCGACCUGAGAGGGUGAUCGGCCACACUGGGACUGAGACACGGCCCAGACUCCUACGGGAGGCAGCAGUAGGGAAUCUUCGGCAAUGGACGAAAGUCUGACCGAGCAACGCCGCGUGAGUGAAGAAGGUUUUCGGAUCGUAAAACUCUGUUAUUAGAGAAGAACAAGGACGUUAGUAACUGAACGUCCCCUGACGGUAUCUAACCAGAAAGCCACGGCUAACUACGUGCCAGCAGCCGCGGUAAUACGUAGGUGGCAAGCGUUGUCCGGAUUUAUUGGGCGUAAAGCGAGCGCAGGCGGUUUCUUAAGUCUGAUGUGAAAGCCCCCGGCUCAACCGGGGAGGGUCAUUGGAAACUGGGAGACUUGAGUGCAGAAGAGGAGAGUGGAAUUCCAUGUGUAGCGGUGAAAUGCGUAGAUAUAUGGAGGAACACCAGUGGCGAAGGCGGCUCUCUGGUCUGUAACUGACGCUGAGGCUCGAAAGCGUGGGGAGCAAACAGGAUUAGAUACCCUGGUAGUCCACGCCGUAAACGAUGAGUGCUAAGUGUUGGAGGGUUUCCGCCCUUCAGUGCUGCAGCAAACGCAUUAAGCACUCCGCCUGGGGAGUACGACCGCAAGGUUGAAACUCAAAUGAAUUGACGG
This 891-nucleotide ribosomal RNA is filed under the name uncultured bacterium. Its description in RNAcentral is "bacterial SSU rRNA". It matches the Rfam family "Bacterial small subunit ribosomal RNA", at positions 55 to 916 of the family's 1533-position model. The record is from RNAcentral.